This 427-nucleotide ribosomal RNA is filed under the name uncultured prokaryote. RNAcentral's name for it is "bacterial SSU rRNA". It matches the Rfam family "Bacterial small subunit ribosomal RNA", at positions 355 to 774 of the family's 1533-position model. The record is from RNAcentral.
UGGGGAAUCAUAGUCAAUGGGCGAAAGCCUGAUCCAGCCAUGCCGCGUGCAGGAUGAAGGCCUUCGGGUUGUAAACUGCUUUUGUCCGGAACGAAAAGACUCUGUUUAAUACCUGGGGUCCAUGUCGGUACCGUAAGAAUAAGCACCGGCUAACUACGUGCCAGCAACCGCGGUAAUACGUAUGGUGCGAGCGUUAAUCGGAAUUACUGGGCGUAAAGCGUUCGGAGGCGGUUAUGUAAGACAGAUGUGAACUCCCCGGGAUGAACCUGGGAACUGCAUAUGUGACUGCAUAGCUAGAGUACGGCAGAGGGGGAUGGAAUUCCGAGUGUAGCAGUGAAAUGCGUAGCUAUCCGGAGGAACACCAGUGGCGAAAGCGGCCUCAUGGAUCAUUCCUGACACUCAGACGCGAAAGCUAGGGUAGCAAACG